UGGGGAAUUUUGGACAAUGGGCGAAAGCCUGAUCCAGCAAUGCCGCGUGUGUGAAGAAGGCCUUCGGGUUGUAAAGCACUUUUGUCCGGAAAGAAAUCCUUGGCUCUAAUACAGUCGGGGGAUGACGGUACCGGAAGAAUAAGCACCGGCUAACUACGUGCCAGCAGCCGCGGUAAUACGUAGGGUGCAAGCGUUAAUCGGAAUUACUGGGCGUAAAGCGUGCGCAGGCGGUUUGCUAAGACCGAUGUGAAAUCCCCGGGCUCAACCUGGGAACUGCAUUGGUGACUGGCAGGCUAGAGUAUGGCAGAGGGGGGUAGAAUUCCACGUGUAGCAGUGAAAUGCGUAGAGAUGUGGAGGAAUACCGAUGGCGAAGGCAGCCCCCUGGGCCAAUACUGACGCUCAUGCACGAAAAGCGUGGGGGAGCAAAACAGGAUUAGAUACCCUGGUAGUCCACGCCCUAAACGAUGUCAACUAGUUGUUGGGGAUUCAUUUCCUUAGUAACGUAGCUAACGCGUGAAGUUGACCGCCUGGGGAGUACGGUCGCAAGAUUAAAACUCAAAGGAAUUGACGGGGUCAUAGCUGUUUCCU
RNAcentral lists this ribosomal RNA (588 nucleotides) under uncultured bacterium. Its description in RNAcentral is "partial 16S ribosomal RNA". It matches the Rfam family "Bacterial small subunit ribosomal RNA", at positions 355 to 1375 of the family's 1533-position model. The record is from RNAcentral.